Molecule: long non-coding RNA, 229 nt
Filed under: Elaeis guineensis (African oil palm)
Lineage: Eukaryota; Viridiplantae; Streptophyta; Magnoliopsida; Arecales; Arecaceae
Description: long non-coding RNA (EGUI_LNC048175)
Source: RNAcentral
CAAGGGUCUUGAAUUUGAGUACCUAAUGGAUCAUGAACAAAAAUUCAAAUCAGUUUAAAGAUAGUAUGACGAACAUUUAUCCAUGACAAGAUUUAUGGGUGAUCAUAAACAAAAAUUGAAUCCUCCAAAUCUUACAUCUAAAAAUCCUAUGAUUCCAAGUAAAGACAAGAGAGAGAAACAAGGAGUGAGAGAGAACAAAUAGAAAGAGAGAGAGAAAAGAGAGGGAGUG